CCCUUCGGGGUGUGACUGCGUACCUUUUGUAUAAUGGGUCAGCGACUUAUAUUCUGUAGCAAGGUUAACCGUAUAGGGGAGCCGGAGGGAAACCGAGUCUUAACCGGGCGUUAAGUUGCAGGGUAUAGACCCGAAACCCGGUGAUCUAGCCAUGGGCAGGUUGAAGGUUGGGUAACACUAACUGGAGGACCGAACCGACUAAUGUUGAAAAAUUAGCGGAUGACCUGUGGCUGGGGGUGAAAGGCCAAUCAAACCGGGAGAUAGCUGGUUCUCCCCGAAAGCUAUUUAGGUAGCGCCUCGUGAAUUCAUCUCCGGGGGUAGAGCACUGUUUCGGCUAGGGGGCCAUCCCGGCUUACCAACCCGAUGCAAACUGCGAAUACCGGAGAAUGUUAUCACGGGAGACGCACGGCGGGUGCUAACGUCCGUCGUGAAGAGGGAAACAACCCAGACCGCCAGCUAAGGUCCCAAAGUCAUGGUUAAGUGGGAAACGAUGUGGGAAGGCCCAGACAGCCAGGAUGUUGGCUUAGAAGCAGCCAUCAUUUAAAGAAAGCGUAAUAGCUCACUGGUCGAGUCGGCCUGCGCGGAAGAUGUAACGGGGCUAAACCAUGCACCGAAGCUGCGGCAGCGACGCUGAUGCGUUGUUGGGUAGGGGAGCGUUCUGUAAGCCUGCGAAGGUGACCUGUGAGGGUUGCUGGAGGUAUCAGAAGUGCGAAUGCUGACAUAAGUAACGAUAAAGCGGGUGAAAAGCCCGCUCGCCGGAAGACCAAGGGUUCCUGUCCAACGUUAAUCGGGGCAGGGUGAGUCGACCCCUAAGGCGAGGCCGAAAGGCGUAGUCGAUGGGAAACGGGUUAAUAUUCCCGUACUUGGUGUUACUGCGAAGGGGGGACGGAGAAGGCUAUGUUGGCCGGGCGACGGUUGUCCCGGUUUAAGCGUGUAGGUGUGUGUUCCAGGUAAAUCCGGUUCACUUUAACACUGAGGCGUGAUGACGAGGCACUACGGUGCUGAAGCAACAAAUGCCCUGCUUCCAGGAAAAGCCUCUAAGCAUCAGGUAACAUCAAAUCGUACCCCAAACCGACACAGGUGGUCAGGUAGAGAAUACCAAGGCGCUUGAGAGAACUCGGGUGAAGGAACUAGGCAAAAUGGUGCCGUAACUUCGGGAGAAGGCACGCUGACACGUAGGUGAAGUGAUUUACUCA
RNAcentral lists this ribosomal RNA (1196 nucleotides) under Salmonella enterica subsp. enterica. Its description in RNAcentral is "partial 23S ribosomal RNA". It matches the Rfam family "Bacterial large subunit ribosomal RNA", at positions 582 to 1772 of the family's 2925-position model. Lineage: Bacteria; Pseudomonadati; Pseudomonadota; Gammaproteobacteria; Enterobacterales; Enterobacteriaceae. The record is from RNAcentral.